RNAcentral lists this ribosomal RNA (253 nucleotides) under uncultured bacterium. RNAcentral's name for it is "partial 16S ribosomal RNA". It matches the Rfam family "Bacterial small subunit ribosomal RNA", at positions 524 to 776 of the family's 1533-position model. The record is from RNAcentral.
GCCGGGGGAUGCAAUUGUUAUGCGGAAUCACUGAGCGUAAAGCGUCUGUAGGUGGUUACAUAAGUCAACUGUUAAAUCUUGAGGCUUAACCUCAAAAUCGCAGUCGAAACUGUUUGACUAGAGUAUAGUAGGGGUAAAGGGAAUUUCCAGUGGAGCGGUGAAAUGCGUAGAUAUUGGAAAGAACACCGAUGGCGAAGGCACUUUACUGGGCUAUUACUAACACUGAGAGACGAAAGCUAGGGUGGCAAAUGGG